RNAcentral lists this ribosomal RNA (1372 nucleotides) under uncultured bacterium. RNAcentral's name for it is "bacterial SSU rRNA". It matches the Rfam family "Bacterial small subunit ribosomal RNA", at positions 28 to 1381 of the family's 1533-position model. The record is from RNAcentral.
GAUGAACGCUGGCGGCGUGCCUAAUACAUGCAAGUCGAGCGAACAGAUAAGGAGCUUGCUCCUUUGAAGUUAGCGGCGGACGGGUGAGUAACACGUGGGUAACCUACCUAUAAGACUGGGAUAACUUCGGGAAACCGGAGCUAAUACCGGAUAACAUUUAGAACCGCGUGGUUCUAAGGUGAAAGAUGGUUUUACUAUCACUUAUAGAUGGACCCGCGCCGUAUUAGCUAGUUGGUAAGGUAACGGCUUACCAAGGCGACGAUACGUAGCCGACCUGAGAGGGUGAUCGGCCACACCGGAACUGAGACACGGUCCAGACUCCUACGGGAGGCAGCAGUAGGGAAUCUUCCGCAAUGGGCGAAAGCCUGACGGAGCAACGCCGCGUGAGUGAUGAAGGGUUUCGGCUCGUAAAACUCUGUUAUUAGGGAAGAACAAAUGUGUAAGUAACUGUGCACAUCUUGACGGUACCUAAUCAGAAAGCCACGGCUAACUACGUGCCAGCAGCCGCGGUAAUACGUAGGUGGCAAGCGUUAUCCGGAAUUAUUGGGCGUAAAGCGCGCGUAGGCGGUUUCUUAAGUCUGAUGUGAAAGCCCACGGCUCAACCGUGGAGGGUCAUUGGAAACUGGGAAACUUGAGUGCAGAAGAGGAAAGUGGAAUUCCAUGUGUAGCGGUGAAAUGCGCAGAGAUAUGGAGGAACACCAGUGGCGAAGGCGACUUUCUGGUCUGUAACUGACGCUGAUGUGCGAAAGCGUGGGGAUCAAACAGGAUUAGAUACCCUGGUAGUCCACGCCGUAAACGAUGAGUGCUAAGUGUUAGGGGGUUUCCGCCCCUUAGUGCUGCAGCUAACGCAUUAAGCACUCCGCCUGGGGAGUACGACCGCAAGGUUGAAACUCAAAGGAAUUGACGGGGACCCGCACAAGCGGUGGAGCAUGUGGUUUAAUUCGAAGCAACGCGAAGAACCUUACCAAAUCUUGACAUCCUUUGAAAACUCUAGAGAUAGAGCCUUCCCCUUCGGGGGACAAAGUGACAGGUGGUGCAUGGUUGUCGUCAGCUCGUGUCGUGAGAUGUUGGGUUAAGUCCCGCAACGAGCGCAACCCUUAAGCUUAGUUGCCAUCAUUAAGUUGGGCACUCUAGGUUGACUGCCGGUGACAAACCGGAGGAAGGUGGGGAUGACGUCAAAUCAUCAUGCCCCUUAUGAUUUGGGCUACACACGUGCUACAAUGGACAAUACAAAGGGCAGCUAAACCGCGAGGUCAUGCAAAUCCCAUAAAGUUGUUCUCAGUUCGGAUUGUAGUCUGCAACUCGACUACAUGAAGCUGGAAUCGCUAGUAAUCGUAGAUCAGCAUGCUACGGUGAAUACGUUCCCGGGUCU